AGCAGCAGCCGCGGGAAUACGGAGGGUGCAAGCGUUAAUCGGAAUUACUGGGCGUAAAGCGCACGCAGGCGGUUUGUUAAGUCAGAUGUGAAAUCCCCGAGCUUAACUUGGGAACUGCAUUUGAAACUGGCAAGCUAGAGUCUUGUAGAGGGGGGUAGAAUUCCAGGUGUAGCGGUGAAAUGCGUAGAGAUCUGGAGGAAUACCGGUGGCGAAGGCGGCCCCCUGGACAAAGACUGACGCUCAGGUGCGAAAGCGUGGGGAGCAAACAGGAUUAGAUACCCCUGUAGUCCCUGUCUCUUAUAA
RNAcentral lists this ribosomal RNA (303 nucleotides) under uncultured bacterium. Its description in RNAcentral is "partial 16S ribosomal RNA". It matches the Rfam family "Bacterial small subunit ribosomal RNA", at positions 507 to 809 of the family's 1533-position model. The record is from RNAcentral.